This 212-nucleotide unclassified non-coding RNA is filed under the name Lasiodiplodia brasiliensis. Its description in RNAcentral is "partial internal transcribed spacer region". The stretch from base 1 to 46 matches the Rfam family "Eukaryotic small subunit ribosomal RNA", at positions 1786 to 1831 of the family's 1831-position model. Lineage: Eukaryota; Fungi; Ascomycota; Dothideomycetes; Botryosphaeriales; Botryosphaeriaceae. RNAcentral also lists the same sequence under 2 other names. The record is from RNAcentral.
AAGUCGUAACAAGGUUUCCGUAGGUGAACCUGCGGAAGGAUCAUUACCGAGUUUUCGAGCUCCGGCUCGACUCUCCCACCCUUUGUGAACGUACCUCUGUUGCUUUGGCGGCUCCGGCCGCCAAAGGACCUUCAAACUCCAGUCAGUAAACGCAGACGUCUGAUAAACAAGUUAAUAAACUAAAACUUUCAACAACGGAUCUCUUGGUUCUG